GUAUAGUUCAGUAGUAGAGCACUUGCCUAGCAUGUAUAAGACCCUGGGUUCAGUUCCCAGUAC
This 63-nucleotide transfer RNA is filed under the name Heterocephalus glaber (naked mole-rat). It matches the Rfam family "tRNA", at positions 5 to 66 of the family's 71-position model. From Rfam's summary of the family: Transfer RNA (tRNA) molecules are approximately 80 nucleotides in length. Their secondary structure includes four short double-helical elements and three loops (D, anti-codon, and T loops). Further hydrogen bonds mediate the characteristic L-shaped molecular structure. tRNAs have two regions of fundamental functional importance: the anti-codon, which is responsible for specific mRNA codon recognition, and the 3' end, to which the tRNAs corresponding amino acid is attached (by aminoacyl-tRNA synthetases). tRNAs cope with the degeneracy of the genetic code in two manners: having more than one tRNA (with a specific anti-codon) for a particular amino acid; and 'wobble' base-pairing, i.e. permitting non-standard base-pairing at the 3rd anti-codon position. Lineage: Eukaryota; Metazoa; Chordata; Mammalia; Rodentia; Bathyergidae. The record is from Rfam by way of RNAcentral.